Molecule: long non-coding RNA, 116 nt
Organism: Haliotis rubra (blacklip abalone)
Lineage: Eukaryota; Metazoa; Mollusca; Gastropoda; Lepetellida; Haliotidae
Exons: 3
Source: RefSeq, a predicted model, not a curated record
AUUAAAAUAUCCAUCUUCAACAAAGUUUAAUCUAAUAACUGAUGUGGAUUUUUAAGGCAGAUGGGAUUUGAAUCUUUUCACAUUCAUUGAUCAAUUGGUGAAAUAUAAUGUGUUGA